CACUCCGUUUAGAAGAAGGGAGGUUCCGUUUAAAUAUUCGGAAAGGAUUUUUUUCCUUCAUUGUGUGAGUUUGCCCUGCACUGUCUGUUUCCACCAUGGUUAGGUGCCUAAAGCUACCUGGCCCUGUCAAGGAGCCCUUGUCAUCUCCUGGCUUGUGCUCUUCUCCUGUGGCCUGGUUGAGCACAAUGCUUCGCCUGGGACAUCGAGUCUUGGCUUCCUCCUCCUGGCAAGACUCUGGGACCUUCUCUGCCCUCUUUCUAGGGGAGCUGUUGUAAGUGCCCCAUCUUGAACAAGAGGUGUUUGAAGAUGGUCGGAUACCGUUGUAGUUCUGACAAUAAAUGAUGCCCACUGCCAAACUGGCAGCAUUGCUGCCAUGAAGGGCCGAGCAGCUUCGUGAAACCCAUGCCUUUGGGUUCCGGAGAGAGUAUGGUUGCAAAGCUGUGAUGGAUGGAAGGGCACAAUCAGGAGUGGAGUCUUUAAUUUGACAGAACACGGGAAACCUCACCCUAAUGUUGAAGAUCUCCCUGCCCUUUGUAUACACCGCCUGUUGUUUCCACCAAUUGUAGGGUUUGUGAGGUCCUUUGGAAGGCCCAGCUGAGGUUGGUUAUGGCCCUGGCUGAGUGCUUACGAGACCCACAAACAUGGCUACCUAGGGGAAGUAAAUGUUAUGCCUCUAUAUGAGCGUAC
This 687-nucleotide non-coding RNA is filed under the name Xenopus tropicalis (tropical clawed frog). RNAcentral's name for it is "Xenopus (Silurana) tropicalis (western clawed frog) Eukaryotic small subunit ribosomal RNA". It matches the Rfam family "Eukaryotic small subunit ribosomal RNA", at positions 637 to 1831 of the family's 1831-position model. The record is from Rfam by way of RNAcentral. Lineage: Eukaryota; Metazoa; Chordata; Amphibia; Anura; Pipidae.